UGGGGAAUAUUGCACAAUGGGGGAAACCCUGAUGCAGCGACGCCGCGUGAACGAAGAAGGUAUUCGUAUCGUAAAGUUCUGUCCUAUGGGAAGAUAAUGACAGUACCAUAGAAGAAAGCUCCGGCUAUAUACGUGCCAGCAGCCGCUGUAAUACGUAUGGAGCGAGCGUUGUUCGGAUUUAUUGGGUGUAAAGGGUACGCAGGCGGUUUAAUAAGUCGAAUGUUAAAGAUCGGGGCUCAACCCCGUAAAGCAUUGGAAACUGAUAAACUUGAGUAGUGGAGAGGAAAGUGGAAUUCCUAGUGUAGUAGUGAAAUACGUAGAUAUUAGGAGGAAUACCAGUAGCGAAGGCGACUUCCUGGACACAAACUGACGCUGAGGUACGAAAGCGUGGGGAGCAAACAGG
This 403-nucleotide ribosomal RNA is filed under the name bacterium. Its description in RNAcentral is "partial 16S ribosomal RNA". It matches the Rfam family "Bacterial small subunit ribosomal RNA", at positions 355 to 776 of the family's 1533-position model. The record is from RNAcentral.